AUUGAACGCUGGCGGCAGGCCUAACACAUGCAAGUCGAGCGGAGCGGCGGACGGGUGAGUAAUGCCUAUGAAUCUGACUGGCCGUGGGGGAUAACGACCGCAAACGGGCGCUAAUACCGCUUACUAUCAGAUGAGCCUAGGUCGGUUUAGCUAGUUGGUGGGGUAAAGGCCUACCAAGGCGACGAUCCGUAACUGGUCUGAGAGGAUGAUCAGUCACACUGGAACUGAGACACGGUCCAGACUCCUACGGGAGGCAGCAGUGGGGAAUAUUGGACAAUGGGCGAAAGCCUGAUGCAGCCAUGCCGCGUGUAUGAAGAAGGUCUUCGGGUUGUAAAGCACUUUAAGUUGGGAGGCGUUACCAACAGAAGAAGCACCGGCUAACUUCGUGCCAGCAGCCGCGGUAAUUC
RNAcentral lists this ribosomal RNA (407 nucleotides) under uncultured bacterium. Its description in RNAcentral is "partial 16S ribosomal RNA". It matches the Rfam family "Bacterial small subunit ribosomal RNA", at positions 30 to 526 of the family's 1533-position model. The record is from RNAcentral.